This 1818-nucleotide long non-coding RNA is filed under the name Bemisia tabaci. Its description in RNAcentral is "lncRNA ENSSWEETPG010345". Lineage: Eukaryota; Metazoa; Arthropoda; Insecta; Hemiptera; Aleyrodidae. The record is from RNAcentral.
AUGUGUUUCAAAGGUGCGUCAUUUGCCCAGGUUAUGACAGAUCCGAGUAUAGAGUCAGCAGAAGUGAUCCGUCUUAAAGCGGAAAACAGCCUGCUUGAAGAUCAAUUAGAACGUCUCACCGCCAAUUACACUGCAAUAAUUCAACAUCUCACCGCAAAUUACACUGCAACAGAUCAACAUCUCACCGCAAAUUUCACUGCAACGAUAACAACUUUGUCCAAUAAACAAGAAAGUUGCUAUUCUAACAUAUAUUACGACUGAUUACAGGUUUUGAAAGGAAUGAAUAUAAGAGAGAAAUUAAUGAAUUCAUAAUCACAUUAAAAAGUUCAAAAAUAGUUGUGCAAACGAGCCCCUGGUAAAAAUGGCAAGUGUCAGGCUAGUUUUUUCUCCUAUUUGAAGACGAGAUUCAGUGUACAAGCAUAAAGUAGUUCAGGAAAAUGGCGGAACCGGUUGAUCCGCUUUGAAUUCCGGAGGAUUCCCGCACUUCAAGCGCGAGAAACUGACAAGAUUUGAAGAAGAGUCGUCUCGAGGGAUGCCAAAUCAUGAGCAUCGAUUCUCGAAAUAAGUGUCUAACGCUACGAAAAUCCCCAUUAAUAGAGUAACGAGCAAGUCUCCUUUUAUAAAUUGGACAUAGAGUCCAAUUUGGAGACGAGAUUCAAUGUACAAGCAUAAAGUAGCUGAGGAAAAUGGCGGAAUCGGUUGAUCCCUUUUGAAUUUAGGAGAAUUCCCGCACUUCAAGCGCGAGGAACUGACAAGAUUUGAAGAAGAGUCGUCUCGAGGGAUGCCAAAUCAUGAGCAUCGAUUCUCGAAAUAAGUGUCUAACGCUACGAAAAUCCCUACUAAUAGACUAACGAGCAAGUCUCCUUUUAUAAAUUGGACAUGGAUUGUCCAAUUUGGAAACGAGAUUCAAUGUACAAGCAUAAAGUAGCUGAGGAAAAUGGCGGAAUCGGUUGAUCCCUUUUGAAUUUAGGAGAAUUCCCGCACUUCAAGCGCGAGAAACUGACAAGAUUUGAAGAAGAGUCGUCUCGAGGGAUGCCAAAUCAUGAGCAUCGAUUCUCGAAAUAAGUGUCUAACGCUACGAAAAUCCCCAUUAAUAGAGUAACGAGCAAGUCUCCUUUUAUAAAUUGGACAUAGAGUCCAAUUUGGAGACGAGAUUCAAUGUACAAGCAUAAAGUAGCUGAGGAAAAUGGCGGAAUCGGUUGAUCCCUUUUGAAUUUAGGAGAAUUCCCGCACUUCAAGCGCGAGGAACUGACAAGAUUUGAAGAAGAGUCGUCUCGAGGGAUGCCAAAUCAUGAGCAUCGAUUCUCGAAAUAAGUGUCUAACGCUACGAAAAUCCCUAUUAAUAGACUAACGAGCAAGUCUCAUUUUAUAAAUUGGACAUGGAUUGUCCAAUUUGGAGACGAGAUUCAAUGUACAAGCAUAAAGUAGAUGAGGAAAAUGGCGGAACCGGUUGAUCCGUUUUGAAUUCCGGAGAAUUCCCGCACUUCAAGCGCGAGAAACUGACAUGAUAUGAAGAAGAGUCGCCUCGAGGGAUGCCAAAUCAUGAGCAUCGAUUCUCGAAAUAAGUGUCUAUAGCUACGAAAAUCCCCAUUAAUAGAGUAACGCGGAAGUGUCAUUAUAAAGGAUGGACAUGGAUUGUCCUACUCGGAGACGAGAUUCAGUGUACAAGCAUAAAGUAUUUGAGGGAAAUGACGGAUCCGGUUGAUCCGGUUCAAAUCCCGGAGAAUUCUUGAUCUUCGCGCGCGAGGACUAGACAAGAUUUGAAGAAGAGUGGUCCCGAGGGAUGCCGCGUUGCUGGCUGACAGUGAAUUUAUAUUU